Molecule: ribosomal RNA, 491 nt
Filed under: uncultured bacterium
Lineage: Bacteria
Description: partial 16S ribosomal RNA
Rfam family: Bacterial small subunit ribosomal RNA
Source: RNAcentral
AGUGAACGCUGGCGGUAGGCCUAACACAUGCGAGUCGAACGGCAGCACAGUAAGAGCUUGCUCUUACGGGUGGCGAGUGGCGGACGGGUGAGGAAUACAUCGGAAUCUACUUUUUCGUGGGGGAUAACGUAGGGAAACUUACGCUAAUACCGCAUACGACCUACGGGUGAAAGCAGGGGAUCUUCGGACCUUGCGCGAUUGAAUGAGCCGAUGUCGGAUUAGCUAGUUGGCGGGGUAAAGGCCCACCAAGGCGACGAUCCGUAGCUGGUCUGAGAGGAUGAUCAGCCACACUGGAACUGAGACACGGUCCAGACUCCUACGGGAGGCAGCAGUGGGGAAUAUUGGACAAUGGGCGCAAGCCUGAUCCAGCCACACCGCGUGGGUGAAGAAGGCCUUCGGGUUGUAAAGCCCUUUUGUUGGGAAAGAAAAGCAGCAGGUUAAUACCCCGCUGUUCUGACGGUACCCAAAGAAUAAGCACCGGCUAACUUCGU